ACCCCCGUGAGGAUGCCUUCCCCUGCCCAAUUAAGGUAGAAAGGAGCGGGUAUCAGGCACAACCCCAAGUUGGCCCACGACACCUUGCACAGCCACGCCCCCAAGGGUACUCAGCAGUAAUAAACCUUAAGCAAUAAGUGAAAACUUGACUUAGUUAAUAUCAAACAGGGCCGGUCAAACUCGUGCCAGCCGCCGCGGUUAUACGAGUAGGCCCAAGUGGAUCGAAACCGGCGUAAAGAGUGGCUAAUAGAACCGCACACUAAAGCCGAACGCCUUCAAAGCAGUUAUACGCAUUCGGAGGCACGAAGCCCCAUAACGAAAGUGGCUUUAAACACUAUUGAACCCACGAAAGCUAGGGAACAAACUGGGAUUAGAUACCCCACUAUGCCUAGCCUUAAACACAAAUGCCCUUAUACCACAAGCAUUCGCCAGGGAACUACGAGCGCGAGCUUAAAACCCAAAGGAUUUGGCGGUGCUUUAGACCCCCCUAGAGGAGCCUGUCAUAGAACCGAUACUCCCCGUUAAACCUCACCCUCUCUUGUUCUUCCCGCCUAUAUACCGCCGUCGUCAGCUUACCUUGUGAGAGACCAGUAGUAAGCAAAAUUGGCAAACCCCAAAACGUCAGGUCGAGGUGUAGCGUAUGAGAGGGGAAGAGAUGGGCUACAUUUACUGCCUCAGUACAUACGGACGAUGACCUGAAAUUCCAUCUGAAGGAGGAUUUAGCAGUAAGGGGGAAAUAGAGUGUCCCCCUGAAGACGGCUCUGGAGCGCGCACAUACCGCCCGUCAUUCUCCCCAAUAACCAAACAAAACAAUAUAUAAUAAAACAGCAUAUAUCAAGAGGGGAGGCAAGUCGUAACAUGGUAAGUGUACCGGAAGGUGCACUUGGAUCAACCC
RNAcentral lists this non-coding RNA (895 nucleotides) under Bathygobius coalitus (whitespotted frillgoby). RNAcentral's name for it is "partial 12S rRNA". It matches the Rfam family "Bacterial small subunit ribosomal RNA", at positions 267 to 1529 of the family's 1533-position model. Lineage: Eukaryota; Metazoa; Chordata; Actinopteri; Gobiiformes; Gobiidae. The record is from RNAcentral.